This 219-nucleotide long non-coding RNA is filed under the name Elaeis guineensis (African oil palm). RNAcentral's name for it is "long non-coding RNA (EGUI_LNC081669)". The record is from RNAcentral. Lineage: Eukaryota; Viridiplantae; Streptophyta; Magnoliopsida; Arecales; Arecaceae.
GAGGUAUGCUAUCAGUGGGUCGAUCCAACUGGGCUCGUGGUCAAUUUUCAUCAUAGGCCGCGAUUCUUCCGUACUCAGGCACUUCAGAACUUCAAAGAGGACACCCUUAGGCAAUUCGGCCGGAGCCAGCGUAGCCAGCUUGGAGAGAAGAUCGGCCCUGGUAUUUUCCAUCCUUGGAAUCUACCUGAUGUUGAAGCUACUGAAGGUGGGGACGAGCUC